Molecule: long non-coding RNA, 1038 nt
Filed under: Capra hircus (goat)
Lineage: Eukaryota; Metazoa; Chordata; Mammalia; Artiodactyla; Bovidae
Description: lncRNA (ENSCHIG00010006302.1)
Source: RNAcentral
GUUUAUGACCUCAUUUAACCUUAAUUAUUUCCUUAAAGGCCCCAUCUCCAAAUACAGCCAUAACCAGAGUUAGAGCUUUUCAACUCAGCUUUUUUUUUUUUUUUGAGGAUAAUUGCUUUAAAAUGUUGUGUCAACUCAGCUAUUUGAAUCUCUAUAGACAGAGAUUCAGUCUAUAACAAUACAUACCGGCCUCAAGCUUCCCCAUCCCUCAGAGUGAUGUGUCUGAGUGAGCUUCCUGCAGUCACACCCAGAAAGUGACUUGAUCCCAACAACUUGUCUCAAGGUCUGCUUUGGAGAGCACUUCAAACCAGACAAUGUUUCUAAAAAUCAGCGAAUUGAAUCUCAAGUUACGCCCACAGGUACUCAGGCCUGCAGGUCGUCCCAUAUCCCUAGUCCUGGGGUAGCAGUUGUCCUAUUCUGGUUCACGGUCAGAGUAUCUCCUACUGCAGGGUGGGGUACAUGGGUGUUUGAGAGACUUUGGAAAUAGGUCUGCACUGAGGAAGAGGUGAGGCAAGUACUGAGAGCCAGUCCAUACAAGGAAAUACUGUACCCACCAAGCGCAUCGGAGACAGCAGGCAGGACUCCAGUCUCCCAUGGAAUCCCAGAGCAUCCUCAGAGAUGAGUUGAAGACAAUUACUAAGAAGCAUGUGAAACAAGACCAAGUUUGAAAGUUCAAAAUAUGUUUUCCCUGGAAAAUUGUUGUUGGAAAAUUAAUUUUAGAGGAUAACAAUAAAGGCUGUUAUGAUUUUUGUUACUAUUGAUUAAUUGUGCCUGUUUUAAACUUUAUAUGAAUGAAAAAAUUCAGUAUGGCAUAAUUUUGUGCCUGACUUCUUUUGCUCAAAAUGAUGCUUGUCGUUGAGUGUACUAACCGUAUAUUAAGGAACCUACUAAAAACAAUACAAAAUUGAUUAUAAAGGUAAAUCUUGAAAAUUUUAUUCUUUUCAUCUCUCAUAUUAAGGAAGAGAAUAUAAAUAAUCCAAGUAAGAUACACUAUGUGAGAAAAUCUUGUGCUUUUCAACAUGUUAUAACACUACCAGA